GGGCGCUUGGUCUAGGGGUAUGAUUUUCGCUUCGCAUCGUGCAGUGUUGUGCAGAUGUCUGUGAAAGGUCGUGGGUUCAAUUCCCACAGCGUCCA
This 95-nucleotide transfer RNA is filed under the name Friedmanniomyces endolithicus. RNAcentral's name for it is "tRNA-Ala". It matches the Rfam family "tRNA". From Rfam's summary of the family: Transfer RNA (tRNA) molecules are approximately 80 nucleotides in length. Lineage: Eukaryota; Fungi; Ascomycota; Dothideomycetes; Mycosphaerellales; Teratosphaeriaceae. The record is from RNAcentral. RNAcentral also lists the same sequence under 1 other name.